AGCAGCCGCGGUAAAUUCCAGCUCCAAUAGCGUAUAUUAAAGUUGUUGCAGUUAAAAAAGCUCGUAGUUGAAUUUUAGGCCUGGCCAGGCGGUCCGUCUUUGGCGAGUACUGUCUUAUUGUCGGGUCUUCCUUCUGGUGAACCAGUAUGUCCUUUAUUGGGUGUGUUGGGGAGCCAGGACCAUUACCUUGAAAAAAUUGGAGUGUUUAAAGCGGGCUAUUGCUUGAAUAGAUUAGCAUGGAAUAAUAGAAUAGGACGUUGUGGUUCUAUUUUGUUGGUUUCUAGGACCACCGUAAUGAUUAAUAGGGAUAGUUGGGGGCAUUAGUAUUCAAUUGUCAGAGGUGAAAUUCUUGGAUUUAUUGAAGCCUAACUACUGCGAAAGCAUUUGCCAAGGAUGUUUU
This 400-nucleotide ribosomal RNA is filed under the name uncultured Glomeromycotina. Its description in RNAcentral is "SSU rRNA". It matches the Rfam family "Eukaryotic small subunit ribosomal RNA", at positions 569 to 970 of the family's 1831-position model. Lineage: Eukaryota; Fungi; Glomeromycota. The record is from RNAcentral.